AGGGGUGUAGAUCAGUUGGCAGAGUGCCUGCGUAACAUGCAUGAGACCCUGGGUUCAAUCCCCAGCAUCUCAC
RNAcentral lists this transfer RNA (73 nucleotides) under Cricetulus griseus (Chinese hamster). It matches the Rfam family "tRNA". Rfam says of the family: Transfer RNA (tRNA) molecules are approximately 80 nucleotides in length. Their secondary structure includes four short double-helical elements and three loops (D, anti-codon, and T loops). Lineage: Eukaryota; Metazoa; Chordata; Mammalia; Rodentia; Cricetidae. The record is from Rfam by way of RNAcentral.